GUUCAUUACUCCUGUAAAGUCUUGUUCAGCUCUGCAAUCAACCUAGACAACUAGAUGCAUCAAUCAAUCGACACCAAUGCUGGUGUGGGACUCGCAGUGACUCCUGGAUGGACAGAUCAUGGCUGCUGCUAACCUCUCCCAGACCACAGCCUCUGCUUCCUCCCGGCCCUGGGUAUCGCAUUGAGACUGGAAGGACUUUGUACAGCGGAAGGGGCUAAAGGAGCUUGGAGAAGGUUUUGUGCUGACAGCACCAGGCCUUGGGUCUCAGGUACACCAACUUUCUCCACUUUCUGCAUAUAGUCAUCUGAGUGAUUGUCUUGUCCUUUUCACAGUCAUUGUGUCACAGGGUGAGCAGUUGAACCACCUCCUCAGGCUUCUGACUGGCUUCUGUGUUUGUGCUGGAAUCCACUCUCCAUCCACUUCGAAUCAAGUGCUUGUCAUCCGCCUUGUCCUUUCCUCUCUUCAGUACCAGCCACCUUGAAUUGCUGGGUC
Anguilla anguilla (European eel) is the source of this 492-nucleotide long non-coding RNA. RefSeq lists it as uncharacterized. Lineage: Eukaryota; Metazoa; Chordata; Actinopteri; Anguilliformes; Anguillidae. The record is from RefSeq and is a predicted model, not a curated record. The transcript is spliced from 3 exons.